This 801-nucleotide ribosomal RNA is filed under the name uncultured bacterium. Its description in RNAcentral is "bacterial SSU rRNA". It matches the Rfam family "Bacterial small subunit ribosomal RNA", at positions 67 to 889 of the family's 1533-position model. The record is from RNAcentral.
CGAUACCUUCGGGUAUAGUGGCAAACGGGUGCGUAACACGUCGGGAACCUACCCCUAAGACGAGAAUAACCAUUAGAAAUGAUGGCUAAUACUCGGUAAUAUGCAGUUACAUAAGUAAUUGUAUUAAAGCUUUUGCGCUUAGGGAGGGUCCAGCGGCCUAUCAGCUUGUUGGUAAGGUAAUGGCUUACCAAGGCUACGACGGGUAGCGGGUGUGAGAGCACGACCCGCCUCACUGGGACUGAGACACGGCCCAGACACCUACGGGUGGCUGCAGUCAUGAAUCUUCCGCAAUGCACGAAAGUGUGACGGAGCAAUGCCGCGUGCAGGAUGAAGGCUUUCGGGUCGUAAACUGCUUUUAUCAGGGACGAACAAAUGACGGUACCUGAUGAAUAAGAGGUUGCUAACUCUGUGCCAGCAGCAGCGGUAAUACAGAGACCUCAAGCGUUGUCCGGAUUUAUUGGGCGUAAAGAGUGCGUAGGUGGUUUGUUAAGUCAGUGGUCAAAGCCCGAGGCUCAACCUCGGAACUGCCACUGAUACUGACAAACUAGAGGAUGGGAGAGGCAAGCGGAAUUGCUGGUGUAGGGGUAAAAUCCGUUGAUAUCAGCAGGAACACCAAAUGCGAAGGCAGCUUGCUAGAACAUUCCUGACACUGUUGCACGAAAGCGUGGGGAGCAAAGAGGAUUAGAUACCCUCGUAGUCCACGCCGUAAACGAUGGAUACUAGACAUUGGAAGUAUCGACCCUUUCAGUGUCGUUGAAAAAAGCUAACGCGUUAAGUAUCCCGCCUGGGGAGUACGGUCGC